UUAAUUACAAAGCAAUUUUGAACUAGUUAAUGAAAUAUAAAGACAGAUUUGCGUAGAAAUUAGAAAGUCUCCCUCUUUUUUUAUUUCAAAGUUGUUCUUAAUUAGCAAUUCUCUCUCAUUUUUUAUUUCAAAGUUGUUCACAUACAUUGAGUGGAACUUCAAAUUAUGAGAGACAACAGUGUAACUGGAAAUUGAAGUAUAAACCAAAAAAAUGAGAAGUCAGUGAAACAGCAACAGUAGCAGCAAAUGACCAAUCCAGCAACGACAAUAGGAGAAUUUUCAGGAAACAAAUGACACCAGCGAAUCCGAGAAUCAACCGAGCAAUCAAGAAAAUAACCAUAGAAUAAGAAAAAUUCCUCAAUGGAACAAUAAUAUACAAUUUUUUUAGAAUUUUCUUGUCUGUUUCUCUUCCUCUCUUUUAACUCACUAUUUUCAGAUUGUUUCGAAUUUUUCAGAUUCUUUUCCUAUCAAAUUUUCAAUUUUU
Molecule: long non-coding RNA, 484 nt
Filed under: Nicotiana benthamiana
Lineage: Eukaryota; Viridiplantae; Streptophyta; Magnoliopsida; Solanales; Solanaceae
Description: long non-coding RNA (NBEN_LNC003580)
Source: RNAcentral